Molecule: non-coding RNA, 236 nt
Organism: Cinara cedri
Lineage: Eukaryota; Metazoa; Arthropoda; Insecta; Hemiptera; Aphididae
Source: the annotation of a GenBank genome assembly
CAGCAAAUCAAGGGAUAUUUUCGUUUUACGCUAUCUGAGCAUUAUGCAUUUAUUUUUUCCCUGUUAGCUAGCCGAUGUAAUUUUGCACAAUAAAUCGAGGGUUUUUCGUUUAAAACAGUCCAGUAGUGUUAAUAGUAGACCAAUAACGAUGAUUUGUAAUCAUUUUUGAAUUCUUAAUGAAAAUCGAACAUUUAUUACUCAUAAUAGUGGAGAUCUUAAUAAAUAUAACAAAUUUU